UACGUAGGGGGCAAGCGUUGUCCGGAUUUAUUGGGCGUAAAGAGCGUGUAGGCGGCCAGGUAGGUGGGUUGUGAAAACUGGAGGCUCAACCUUCAGACGUCGACCCAAACCCCCUGGCUAGAGUCCGGAAGAGGAGAGUGGAAUUCCUGGUGUAGCGGUGAAAUGCGCAGAUAUCAGGAAGAACACCCGUGGCGAAAGCGGCUCUCUGGAACGGUACUGACGCUGAGACGCGAAAGCGUGGGGAGCGAACAGG
RNAcentral lists this ribosomal RNA (253 nucleotides) under uncultured bacterium. RNAcentral describes it as "partial 16S ribosomal RNA". It matches the Rfam family "Bacterial small subunit ribosomal RNA", at positions 524 to 776 of the family's 1533-position model. The record is from RNAcentral.